Sesamum indicum (sesame) is the source of this 897-nucleotide non-coding RNA. The record is from RefSeq and is a predicted model, not a curated record. Lineage: Eukaryota; Viridiplantae; Streptophyta; Magnoliopsida; Lamiales; Pedaliaceae.
AAUAGAAAUACAGAGACAGAAGAAGGCGGGGUAAAUACGUUUUUAUUCUUCAAGUGAAAAAUAUUGGGUGAUUUGGUAACUGACUAUAUAAUAAUUGGAUGAAUUAUGAGGUAUAGAUUUGAGGCCGGAAUCUUAAAUUGGUACCAUACAUGUAAACUUAGGGGAUAUUCAUAAUGUUUUGCAGAAAUUCCCAAGCUAACAUCUGGCUGCUCUGAAUUUGUUGAUUCAGCAGAACACAUCUUGACAAAAAGGGGGAUGAAUUACACAUUGCUGGCAAAUCAUACUACUUUGCUUGAUUUACUUGAAAGUCCUCAGCUCAUGACACAAUCUGAAGUGAGAAUCUGCUAUCAGCAGCAAAAAGUCUGUUUCUUUUGUCAGAUAUAUCGAGGCAGUAUUUUCUUUUCUUCUUAGACAAGGAACAAGAAUUCCUGUGAUUCAGGCUCUAGCUUCAGAAGUUGGGUAGACCACUCAGUAUCUUCUACAUGAGCUUCUCCAGAAACUUAGAUCUAACACUCAGUUUCUAAGAUACCAUGAAGCCUGGCUUACCGGAAUACUUGAUGACUUAGACCAGAGAAAUCCUUAUGAAUAUUUGAAAUGGAUGGUAAAUUGUCACCAAAAACUCUUUGACAUGGCUUGUGCAUAUGUGCCUGAGAUUAACUGAAUAUCUUCAUAGUACAAUAGAUGCAUCUGUAAUACAAGUUUUCCCUUUGGUUUUUAGCUUCAUAUCAGUAUGACGAUUGCUUGUUGUGUUGUCCCAGAGCUAUAUUGUAAUUAUAGUGCCAAAAAAUACUUGUUCUUUUUAUUCCUUGUUUCAUUGUUUAAUAUCAGAUGAAAGAGGAGAUGUUCUUGAGUCGAUGAUUUCAUAAUCAGUAGUGUUUAACUGGAGUUGAAUAGUAC